Choloepus didactylus (southern two-toed sloth) is the source of this 1385-nucleotide long non-coding RNA. RefSeq lists it as uncharacterized. The transcript has 3 exons. The record is from RefSeq and is a predicted model, not a curated record. NCBI's taxonomy places the organism in Eukaryota, Metazoa, Chordata, Mammalia, Pilosa, Megalonychidae.
GCUCGGGAAGUCGGUCCCGGGCCCGGGCCGGUGGGGCCCGCUUUCACAUGGGGCCCGGGCCGGCCGGGGCCUCUCGGCGGUCCUCGGUGCUGCUCGCCGCCGCGGCCCCGAAGCCGGUGGGGGGCCGGGCAGGAAGGCGGGAGCCGCGGGCCGGGCGCCGCCGGAGGCUGGGGAAGCGACGGGAGCGGUGCGUCCGCGACUGCAGAGGCAGUAGCCCGGAUCGUCGUCCUGGUCGUCGCCGCCAGCGGCCGCACAAGCUUCCCGGGCGCCGCUACUGAGCGCUGCCCAGCCGCCACUACACACGGGCCCGUGACGUCCGUCGUUGCGCGGCGACGUCACGGCCCAGCCGCAAAAGCGUCACCGCGCGAUGCCGAGGGGGCGUGGCCGCGCCUGCGCCAUUCUCCCAGGUCCGGCCUGCAGCCCCGCGCCUGGCCCUGGGCUACCGGCUCCAGUCAGCGUGCGUGGAGCUCUCGGGCUUGCUCGGUACCCCAAUAUCCCGAAAAGGGGAGCCCACGUGGGCUGCCUGCAGAGUCCGGAGUAGCCGAAGAAGGAGAGGCAGCGACGGGCCCCGGAUUCGUGACAAGUUGUUUCCAAGGGACUAACCCACGUAGCUCUUAAUUUUGGAUCUAGUUUCAGAAUUUUUCCCAAAGGACUUCAGAAAUUACUGGAGGCUUGCUACCUGACCUUUACCUGCCCCCUGGAAGCCGGCUGGCUACAGUCAAUAUGUAUCCCCUGCUUAAUUCUUGUCAGCAUGCUUGAAGGCGGGCCCAGCAAGUAUUACCUGUGCAGGUUAGCACCUGCGGAGACCCCAACCCGCCCCCAAAGCCAUUGGCAGAGUCAGCGCCAAAUCCCGAAUAUCUUCCACUGAAUCCGUCCUUGACACCUCGUCGCCGGAGCCCUGGAGAACCCCGUGACGUGACUUACCUACAUUCCAGUGUUUUUACUCCCCUCUGCUCUGAUCCAAGAAAGCAUCCUUCCCGCUCCAACCCUUCCUUCCCAGCCUUAAAGCUCCUUGUACCGUUCUUUCCCUGGUCCACCUUCUACGUAGUUACUCGGUUUGCUCUGGAUCCCAUCCCCUCCUUGCCUGUUCCGGACCAAAGUUCAAACCCAGAGAGCCGGGAGCGGCACCCACCGGGCCCAGAGCACCUUCUCCAAUUUGACAGAAGAGGAAACUGCCUUCAAAUACUCUAAUGCCAGGAGUUGGCCUUCUGAGGGGUCCAGAAACUGUAAGUUCCCUGACCAACUUGAUGUGAAUCUCCAGGGGCAGGACCAUGGGAGACAGUCCAGGUGGGCUGCUUGGAUGUCUCUUCCCAAAGGGACUGAAUGCACCUUGAGGGCGAGGCCUCCCGUCUCCACCUGCCUCACCUGCCACCUAGUCCUGCCCA